This 111-nucleotide ribosomal RNA is filed under the name Fusarium oxysporum. Its description in RNAcentral is "partial large subunit ribosomal RNA". Lineage: Eukaryota; Fungi; Ascomycota; Sordariomycetes; Hypocreales; Nectriaceae. The record is from RNAcentral.
GUGCACUUUUCCAGUUCAGGCCAGCAUCAGUUUUCCCCGGGGGAUAAAGGCGGCGGGAACGUGGCUCUCUUCGGGGAGUGUUAUAGCCCGCCGUGUAAUACCCUGGGGGGG